RNAcentral lists this ribosomal RNA (253 nucleotides) under uncultured bacterium. RNAcentral describes it as "partial 16S ribosomal RNA". It matches the Rfam family "Bacterial small subunit ribosomal RNA", at positions 524 to 776 of the family's 1533-position model. The record is from RNAcentral.
UACGUAGGGUCCGAGCGUUGUCCGGAAUUAUUGGGCGUAAAGGGCUCGUAGGCGGUCUGUUGCGUCGGGAGUGAAAACUCAGGGCUUGACCCUGAGCCUGCUUCCGAUACGGGCAGACUAGAGUGAUGUAGGGGAGACUGGAAUUCCUGGUGUAGCGGUGAAAUGCGUAGAGAUGUGGAGGAACACCGGUGGCGAAGGCGGGUCCCUGGGCCGAUACUGACGCUGAGGCGCGAAAGCGUGGGGAGCAAACAGG